AUGCUCGUGAACUUGAAAAAUGAUUUCGAGUUUGAACAAAGAAAGUUUACCAAAGAAGACAUCAAAGAAAUUAUAUUUAGGGAGAUACUGGAAUACCUCCCUCAACUUCUCAAGGAUUACAUGCACGGAUCUGAAAAUACUUACUAUGUCCUAUGUUUCUACCUUGACAUAUCCUGUAACUUUUCUGCCUCCUAUUUUGCAUAUGUAGCAAUAGUCAUAACUUAUGUCGUUGAAUCAAUAUUUGCCACUACUGACAAUUUGCAUAGGCAAUCUGCUAAGAGGAAGAUGGUGGAAAGAGCGGGCGAGUCGAGAGAAAACAUUUUCUUCUCCCAAGGUAAUUUACACUAUCAUAAUUCCCCCAACUGUGACUUGUUAUAUACACACCGAGACCACCCCACACCGCCACUAUAG
RNAcentral lists this ribosomal RNA (411 nucleotides) under Triticum aestivum (bread wheat). RNAcentral describes it as "partial small subunit ribosomal RNA". Lineage: Eukaryota; Viridiplantae; Streptophyta; Magnoliopsida; Poales; Poaceae. The record is from RNAcentral.